RNAcentral lists this ribosomal RNA (4706 nucleotides) under bacterium. Its description in RNAcentral is "23S ribosomal RNA". It matches the Rfam family "Bacterial large subunit ribosomal RNA". The record is from RNAcentral.
GAUUAAGUUACUAAGGGCGCACAGGGGAUGCCUUGGCGUCUAGAGGCGAUGAAGGACGUGGCAAAACUGCGAUAAGCUUCGGGGAGCUGUUCAACAAGCAUUGAUCCGAAGAUUUCCGAAUGGGGAAACCUGACUACCUAAGGUAGUCGCUCCGCAAGGAGAGCGAACUCAGGGAAGUGAAACAUCUCAGUACCUGAAGGAAAAGAAAUCAAUAGAGAUACCCGUAGUAGCGGUGAGCGAACCGGGUAGAGCCUAAACCAUCGGAACUUCGGUUCUGAUGGGGUUGUAGGGCGUGCAAUAAAGCUGAUCAAAGUCAAUAAUCGAAGAGCGUUGGAAAGCGCUGCCAUAGAAGGUGAUAGCCCUGUAGGUGAAAUUGACAAUGACGGUGAGUACGUACCUGAGUACAGCGGGACACGUGGAACCCUGCUGGAAUCUAGGAAGACCACUUUCUAAGGCUAAAUACUACUAGACGACCGAUAGUGAACAAGUACCGUGAGGGAAAGGUGAAAAGAACCCCGACGAGGGGAAUGAAAAGAUCCUGAAACUGUGUGUCUACAAGCAGUCGAAGCACUAUGUUCGCAAGAACAGUGCGACGGCGUACCUUUUGCAUCAUGGGUCAGCGAGUUGCGCCUUUGUGGCAAGGUUAAGUCGAUAAGACGGAGCCGAAGCGAAAGCGAGUCCUAACUGGGCGAUUCAGUCACAAGGGGCAGACCCGAAGCCGAGUGAUCUAACCAUGGCCAGGAUGAAGCUCGGGUAACACCGAGUGGAGGUCCGAACUGUAAUACGUUGAAAAGUAUUCGGAUGAGCUGUGGUUUGGAGUGAAAGGCUAAUCAAACUCGGAGAUAGCUGGUUCUCUUCGAAAUAUAUUGAGGUAUAGCGUCGUGUAUAUUGAGCGGGGGUAGAGCACUGAAUGGACUAGGGGGCCUACCAGCCUACCAAACCCAAAUAGCCUCCGAAUACCGCUCAAGUAAAGCACGGCAGUCAGUUCGUGACUGAUAAGGGCCACGAGCGAGAGGGACAGACCCCAGACCGCCAGCUAAGGUCCCAAAAUCAAUGCUAAGUGGAAAACGAUGUGAGACCGCUAAGACAGCCAGGAAGUUGGCUUAGAAGCAGCCACCUUUUUAAGAAAGCGUAAUAGCUCACUGGUCGAGCGGGCUCGUGCGGAAAAUUCAACGGGGCUAAAGCAUUGUACCGAAGCUGCGGAUAGUAAGAAUCCUACGGGAUUUUUAUUGUGGUAGAAGAGCGUUGUUAACAGGCUGAAGCAUGAUCGUAAGAACGUGUGGACAGUUAACAAGUGAUAAUGCUGACAUGAGUAACGAUAAACAAAGUGAAGAGCUUUGUCGCCGAAAACCCAAGGUUUCCUGAGCCAGGGUCAUCCGCUCAGGGUUAGUCGGAGCCUAAGCUGAGGCCGAAAGGCGUAAGUGAUGGUAAACAGGUUAAUAUUCCUGUCACCACAAGGCACAUUGUGCGAUGGAGAGACGGAGAAGGGUAUGUCUACCGGGUAAUGGUUGUCCCGGAGAAAGUUCGUAGGCUGAAAGGAUAGGUAAAUCCGUUCUUUCUUAAGGCCGAGAAACGAGACCAUCUGCGAUCCGCAAGGGUCAAAGAGAAGUGACUGAUCCCACGCUUCCUAGAAAAUCUUCUAAGCCCGUGCUGCGUGUCCGUACCGGAAACCAACUCUGGUGGGUUAGUAGAGAAUACUUAGGCGCUUGAGAGAACUCUGGUUAAGGAACUAGGCAAAUUACUACCGUAACUUCGGGAUAAGGUAGGCCUUCUAUGGUGUAAUACUUCGCGUAUGAAGCUGCGGAAGGUUGCAGAGAGCAGGGGGUAGCGACUGUUUACUAAAAACACAGGACUCUGCAAACUCGUAAGAGGAGGUAUAGGGUCUGACGCCUGCCCGGUGCCGGAAGGUUAAGGGGAUUUGUCAUCUCGUAAGAGAGAAGCUUUGAACCGAAGCCCCGGUGAACGGCGGCCGUAACUAUGAAUCCGUUGUAGUUACGAAAAUAAAUUUGGCUAUAUGCUGGAAUAUCCGAUUGUAUCCACAGAUACUCGCACAUAUAAUUUAGAAAUAAAUUAAUGGGCAGUGACAACUCUAGUGGUGCGGACAAUCAGCAGGAAAGAUUUAAGAAAAUGAGUAAAACAGUUCCUCCAAAUAUUGGCUAUUAUUUAGCUGGUUUUGCUGAUGGAGAGGGAAGCUUUAAUGUUUCAUUCCGUCCGCGACCUGACUAUAUAAUGCCAUGGAAAGUUUCGUUAUGUUUCAAUAUUUCUCAAAAAGAUAAAGUAAUACUGACGCUGUAUAAAAAAUAUUUACAGUGUGGGACUUUACGAGGAAGAGCUGAUGGAGUUUGGUAUUUCGAAGUUAAUAACUUUGAAGCGAUUGUUUCAAAUGUUAUUCCUUUCUUCAAAAAAUAUAAAUUUCUAUCGGCUAAGAAAAAACGAGACUUUCAAAAAUUCAUUCAGAUUUCAGAUUUAGUCAAAGAGCAUGCUCAUUUAACACGAGCUGGCAUUGAAAAAAUUCUGCAAAUUCGAGCUGAUAUGAACGAUGGUGGAAAAAGAAAGUACUCAGAUGCUGAAAUUAUCAGCAUUCUUAAAAAUCCUCAGAGACUACAUGCCAAACAUUAGCUAAAAUCUAAUGAUGAUAUAGUCCGAACUGCAUAGCGAUAUGUAGAGCUUAGAAGAAAUUCUAAGACGCUAAAAAGAAAUUUUUAGUAGUAACAUUUAUAACGAACGGUCCUAAGGUAGCGAAAUUCCUUGUCGGGUAAGUUCCGACCUGCACGAAUGGCGUAACGACUUCCCCACUGUCUCAACCAGAGACUCAGUGAAAUUGAAUUCGAAGUGAAGAUGCUUCGUAUCCGCGGAAAGACGGAAAGACCCUGUGCACCUUUACUACAACUUAGCGUUGAGCCUGGAGGCUGCAUGUGUAGCAUAGGUGGGAGACUUUGAAGUCGGAGCGCUAGCUCUGAUGGAGUCAUUAGUGAAAUACCACCCUUGCAUUCUCUAGAUUCUAACAUUGGCGAGUGAAUCCUCGCCGUGGACCACGCUUGGUGGGUAGUUUGACUGGGGCGGUCGCCUCGACCACAAGCCAGUAUAAAAAGGAAAUUUAGGGGCGCUUUAGUGGCAACACUAAAGGCAAAUUUGGCUAUAUGCUGGAAAGUCCGUUCUCUCUAAAUCUGUUUACUUUUUUCCGUUCGUAAAUAUUUAGAAGAGAUGUAGUAUCCAACAUUACACGCGCAACAAAUUAUUAGCGUGUGUGAAAAUGUGUUUGGUGCGGGCAAUCAGCAGGGAAGACCACUGAGAUAUACUCAAUCUAGUGUAUAUUCUUAUGUCCCCUCAACGACUAAACGCCGAACUUCCUCUAAAGGGAAGAUGAUAUAGUCUGAACUUCCAGGCGACUGGAAGCCAUAAUAAUGGGGUCUUGCUAAUAUUUUAUGCGAUCGAAAAAGAUCGAAGCACUUAAAUUAAAGUUGAAAUUGUCCGAUCAGCAACGAGAAGUUCUGGUUGGAUUACUACUUGGUGAUGCUUGCUUAGAGACUCAAAAUGGGGGGAAAACUUACCGCCUAAAAAUCGAGCAAAGUGAAAAGCACCAAGACUAUCUUCAACACCUGUAUGAUCUGUUUGCAGAGUGGGUCUUGACCCAACCUCGUAAACGACAAGUUCAUUCUGGUGAUUUUGUUUCUGUAAAUCUAGCGUUUCAAACCGUAAGCCAUAGCGCUUUUAGGUUUUAUGCUCAAAAUUUUUACGGUAAUCAAAAAAAAACAGUACCAAAGUUAAUUGGCCAUUGGUUAACCCCAAAGGCGCUUGCUUAUUGGUAUAUGGAUGAUGGUUCUAUGAAAUCAAAAGAUUCAAAGGGAGUAAUUUUCAACACACAAGGAUUUACUAAGAAUGAAGUCAAUCUGCUUAGUAAGGUCCUCGGACAUAAAUACGGUUUAAGUGCAAAGUUAAGAAAGCAAAAGGAUGGCCAUCAGAUUUACAUUUCUGGAUCUUCUUAUGAAGACUUUAUUCAGAUUGUAAAGCCACAUGUAAUUCCUUCAAUGCUUUAUAAAAUUCAAAAAGCAAGACAAACACAAUUGCCUAAAGAGUAACGGAGGCGCGCAAUGGUGGGCUCAGACUGGUUGGAAAUCAGUCGUACGAGUGUAAAGGCAUAAGCCCGCUUAACUGUGAGAGAGACAUUUCGAACAGGUACGAAAGUAGGCCUUAGUGAUCCGGUGGUUCUUCGUGGAAGGGCCAUCGCUCAUCGGAUAAAAGGUACGCCGGGGAUAACAGGCUUAUCUCCCCCAAGAGUUCACAUCGACGGGGAGGUUUGGCACCUCGAUGUCGGCUCGUCACAUCCUGGGGCUGAAGUAGGUCCCAAGGGUUCGGCUGUUCGCCGAUUAAAGUGGCACGCGAGCUGGGUUUAGAACGUCGUGAGACAGUUCGGUCCCUAUCUUCCGUGGACGCAGGAAAAUUGAGAGGAUUUGCUCUUAGUACGAGAGGACCGGAGCGAACAUACCUCUAGUGGACCAGUUGUCCUGCCAAGGGCAUAGCUGGGUAGCCAAGUAUGGAAGGGAUAACCGCUGAAUGCAUCUAAGCGGGAAGCCUACCUCAAGAUUAGUUUUCCCACCCGCAAGGGCUAAAGGGACGUUGAAGACUACAACGUUGAUAGGUUGGAGGUGGAAGUGCGGUAACGCAUGUAGCUGACCAAUACUAAUGUUCCCGUGAGACUUAAUCUU